CAGGGAGACAAAAACUGAUUGUGAUGCUUGAGUUAUUUAUUCUUAGGCCACGAUCCUGUCACCUUAGGUCGAUCGGUACCUCAAGUUGAAUAUGGAGAGAUAGGUGAGAAAUUGCCUGCUUCAUUUAUCAACUUCAGUUCCUAAACUUGUCUAGGUCACACCCAACAAGGGUACUCCUGGGCCAUUAGCUCAGGUGGUUAGAGCGCACCCCUGAUAAGGGUGAGGUCCCUGGUUCAAGUCCAGGAUGGCCCAUUCGGUGUUGGGGGUAUAGCUCAGUUGGUAGAGCGCCUGCUUUGCAAGCAGGAUGUCAGCGGUUCGAGUCCGCUUACCUCCACUGAUUGAUAUAAAACCUCCUUACAACGAAGCUCGAGGAGUGUACUUUGUUUGAUGUGAUUUAGAAUCAGUUUGACUGAAGCGACCCUAGCUUCCUGUCAUUCCUGUAUUUAUGCUUUUUAGUUAAAUCAGGUUGAAAGGACGCUGGGCUCACUACAAACAAUUUGGUUUGUAGGAUUGUUCAGUAGAACCUUGACAACUGCAUAGGUGAGUCUGGAAAGAAUAAAGCAUCUCAUGGAUCAAUUAUUCAUGAUUUGAUUUAUUGCUUUGUCGAUAGAUCUAAUCGAUUAAAUGAAUAUGACAAUUCUUGAGUCAAAAGCCGAGAAUCUACAAAUAUAUUGUUGAAAAAUACAAUCUUAUUUGUAGAGAUUAAUU
This 708-nucleotide transfer RNA is filed under the name uncultured cyanobacterium. RNAcentral's name for it is "partial 16S-23S ribosomal RNA intergenic spacer". The stretch from base 262 to 334 matches the Rfam family "tRNA". Lineage: Bacteria; Bacillati; Cyanobacteriota. The record is from RNAcentral.